UUCGCAACUUUGUUUUGACAAUACACAAUAUUCAAUGAGUUUUUUUAUGUAGCAUCAUCUUCAUCUUCUCUCCUAGGACAAUCAUCUCCAUCUUUGGUCCUAGGACCUUCAUCGCCAGCAUGUGGGGGAAGGAGGAGGAGACCGGGGAAUGGGGAAAGCACCACAAGCAAGAAGAUUAGCCAACUGACCUUGAAGGAGAUCAAAUUAUUUGUCCAUCCUUUCUAGCUGACCUUGAAGGGUAUCAAAUCUCUUCUUUUCACUAGCCUUGGUAUCUUGAAGCUCUGCUGUUAGCUUUGCGAUCUUCUCUUCCAUAGCGGAUAUAGCCAAACUAUUAAUCGCCUCGCCUUGGGUAGAAGUCCCUAUACCUUGCAAUCCAGCCCUGUAGCGACGAAACGAUUUAUCUGAAAGGUCGUAUGUUGUCCCCUUUUUAGGACCACCGACAGUAUCCAACCAUAUCAUCUUCUCUUAUUCGUCUGAAAUGGGCGGUCGCUCGCCUUGCUCAUUCGUGAUAUAGCCGAACUAUCAAUCGCCUCACCUUGGACGAAAGUCCCUAUAGCUUGAAAUUCAGCUUGUAGUGCCGAAACGAUUUAUGUGAAAGACCAUAUGCUAUCCCCUUUUUAAGUCCACCAACAGUAUCCAACCAUAUCCUCUUAUCCUUUUCGUCUAAAAUGGGCGGUCGCUCGCCUUGCUCAUUCGGUGGCAAGCUCUAAGUGUACUCCUAAAUUGAUCUUGUAG
RNAcentral lists this long non-coding RNA (735 nucleotides) under Nicotiana benthamiana. RNAcentral's name for it is "long non-coding RNA (NBEN_LNC036147)". The record is from RNAcentral. Lineage: Eukaryota; Viridiplantae; Streptophyta; Magnoliopsida; Solanales; Solanaceae.